UAGGGAAUCUUCCGCAAUGGACGCAAGUCUGACGGAGCAACGCCGCGUGAGUGAAGAAGGAUUUCGGUUCGUAAAACUCUGUUGUUAGAGAAGAACAGCGCAUAGAGUAACUGUUAUGCGUGUGACGGUAUCUAACCAGAAAGCCACGGCUAACUACGUGCCAGCAGCCGCGGUAAUACGUAGGUGGCAAGCGUUGUCCGGAUUUAUUGGGCGUAAAGCGAGCGCAGGCGGUCAAUUAAGUCUGAUGUGAAAGCCCCCGGCUCAACCGGGGAGGGUCAUUGGAAACUGGGUGACUUGAGUGCAGAAGAGGAGAGUGGAAUUCCAUGUGUAGCGGUGAAAUGCGUAGAUAUAUGGAGGAACACCAGUGGCGAAGGCGACUCUCUGGUCUGUAACUGACGCUGAGGUUCGAAAGCGUGGGUAGCAAACAGG
This 429-nucleotide ribosomal RNA is filed under the name Bacteroidota bacterium. RNAcentral's name for it is "Bacteroidetes bacterium partial 16S ribosomal RNA". It matches the Rfam family "Bacterial small subunit ribosomal RNA", at positions 355 to 776 of the family's 1533-position model. Lineage: Bacteria; Pseudomonadati; Bacteroidota. The record is from RNAcentral.